CCUACGGGAGGCAGCAGUGAGGAAUAUUGGUCAAUGGACGCAAGUCUGAACCAGCCAUGCCGCGUGAAGGAAGACGGCCCUAUGAGUUGUAAACUGCUUUUGUACGGGAGUAAACGCAGAUACGCGUAUCUGUCUGAAAGUAUCGUACGAAUAAGGAUCGGCUAACUCCGUGCCAGCAGCCGCGGUAAUACGGAGGAUUCGAGCGUUAUCCGGAUUUAUUGGGUUUAAAGGGUGCGUAGGCGGUCGGAUAAGUUAGAGGUGAAAUCCCGAGGCUCAACUUCGGAAUUGCCUUUGAUACUGGUAGGCUAGAGAGUAGUUGCGGUAGGCGGAAUGCAUGGUGUAGCGGUGAAAUGCUUAGAGAUCAUACAGAACACCGAUUGCGAAGGCAGCUUACCAAGCUACUUCUGACGUUGAGGCACGAAAGCGUGGGGAGCAAACAGGAUUAGAUACCCGAGUAGUC
RNAcentral lists this ribosomal RNA (460 nucleotides) under uncultured bacterium. RNAcentral's name for it is "partial 16S ribosomal RNA". It matches the Rfam family "Bacterial small subunit ribosomal RNA", at positions 338 to 795 of the family's 1533-position model. The record is from RNAcentral.